UCUAACUUAAGCAUCGGAGGGCCUUCGUCGGAUCCUCCGACCUAGGCUUCUUGCAGGUCUGCCGGAGACAGCCGUCCGCCACCAUCUGUGCCAGAAGCUCCUCCUCCUAGUUUCCGAUCACCUCCGGAUCUGAUUUCCAGCAACAACAAAUUUCACUCUGUAAUUUUUGACUCUACACAAUAUCCCAACUUAUGCUCAUAGUACUGUUAAUGCAUCCGCAUGAACAAUAGAUGGCAAAAGUAGCCUUACUUGGAGAGUGUCUCCAGUUGCAUCAGACAUACAUCGUGG
This 288-nucleotide long non-coding RNA is filed under the name Phoenix dactylifera (date palm). Its description in RNAcentral is "long non-coding RNA (PDAC_LNC015438)". Lineage: Eukaryota; Viridiplantae; Streptophyta; Magnoliopsida; Arecales; Arecaceae. The record is from RNAcentral.